RNAcentral lists this ribosomal RNA (251 nucleotides) under Collybiopsis melanopus. RNAcentral describes it as "Gymnopus melanopus partial large subunit ribosomal RNA". The record is from RNAcentral. Lineage: Eukaryota; Fungi; Basidiomycota; Agaricomycetes; Agaricales; Omphalotaceae.
CGUGAAAUUGUUGAAAGGGAAACGCUUGAAGUCAGUCGCGUUAGUUGGGGAUCAGCCUUCCUUUUGGUUGGUGUACUUCCCAGUUGACGGGUCAGCAUCAGUUUUGACCAGUGGAUAAAAGCUUGAGGAAUGUGGCAUCUUCGGGUGUGUUAUAGCCUCUUGUUGUAUACAUUGGUUGGGACUGAGGAAUUCAGCACGCCGCAAGGCCGGGUUUUUAACCACGUUCGUGCUUAGGAUGCUGGCAUAAUGGC